AUCACAGUUUUGGCUCUUUUCCACAGACCCUGAUGGAUAAAAGAUGGAUAUUUUUUCCUGGAGAAGCUAAAACAAUGUAACUUUGAGGUUCUGAUACCAGCUUUUACAAAGUUAUUUACAGAGUUCACCAGACUUCUCUGUGUUAUUUCCUGACCAUGCCGAAAAGCUAUUUGAAACUUGGGCAUUGCAUUUUCCAGACAGAAUCCUGCAACUUCCCAGCCAAGAACCAGGAGCAUCAACAAAUCACCUCCAGAACCCCAUGAUGAUAUUCCAACUCCUGUCUACAAAAGUGGGAAGAAAAUCUUAAGUCUAUGUUGGGACCAACAUGGUUGCAUUCUUCUGAGAGGCUGAGGUGACAAAACCAUUCCCAUUUGUCCUUGGAUUGGAAGAUGGCGAUCUCUGCCAUCAAGCCUUCGUUGUUUUUGACAGACAGUCACUCCAGCAAUACACCCUCCUUGGUGAUGUUGACAUGUUUUAAACUUUUUUUUUAUGUUUUGGACAUUAAUUUUAAUAAGCAGUGCACGUCAGUGUGGGUGUUUUUGAAGACUGUUACCGCCAUACCGCGGUCACGUGACCCAUGCCGCGGGUCUGAGCUCCCCACCGUCAUAACCGCAAAAAAAAAAAAACUUGAAACAUUGGCCUGCACUUGUGUGUAUAUGUGGGGAUGUUAUACACGCAGCUUGUUAACAACAGCAACUUGUUA
Paramisgurnus dabryanus is the source of this 703-nucleotide long non-coding RNA. RefSeq lists it as uncharacterized. The record is from RefSeq and is a predicted model, not a curated record. Lineage: Eukaryota; Metazoa; Chordata; Actinopteri; Cypriniformes; Cobitidae.